This 313-nucleotide ribosomal RNA is filed under the name uncultured Coprococcus sp. RNAcentral describes it as "bacterial SSU rRNA". It matches the Rfam family "Bacterial small subunit ribosomal RNA", at positions 28 to 339 of the family's 1533-position model. Lineage: Bacteria; Bacillati; Bacillota; Clostridia; Lachnospirales; Lachnospiraceae. The record is from RNAcentral.
GAUGAACGCUGGCGGCGUGCCUAACACAUGCAAGUCGAACGAAGCACAUUCCUUCGGGGAUGUGACUGAGUGGCGGACGGGUGAGUAACGCGUGGGUAACCUGCCCUCUACAGGGGGACAACAGUUAGAAAUGACUGCUAAUACCGCAUAAGCGCACAGGGAGGCAUCUUCCCGUGUGAAAAACAAUAGUGGUAGAGGAUGGGCCCGCGUCUGAUUAGCUGGUUGGCGGGGUAAAAGCCCACCAAGGCAACGAUCAGUAGCCGGUCUGAGAGGAUGAACGGCCACAUUGGAACUGAGACACGGUCCAAACUCC